Molecule: transfer-messenger RNA, 378 nt
Filed under: bovine gut metagenome
Rfam family: transfer-messenger RNA
About the family: Bacterial tmRNA, also known as 10Sa RNA or SsrA, is named for its dual tRNA and mRNA-like properties. Its role is to liberate the mRNA from a stalled ribosome.
Source: RNAcentral
GGGGAUGUACCGGUUUCGACGGGGUUUUUGACGCUUCGGUCGCAGGCAGAGGUGCCCGUUGGCCUCUUUAAAAAGCGGGAAUCUAAAAUUAAACGCUAACGAUAAUUUAGCACUCCAGGCUGCCUGACGGCAGUCCGUCGCCCUUCCGGCUGCCGGACCGGGAGCAAGCGGCGUCAAAAUUCCGGCCCUGUCCGUAUGCAGGUCAAAUCGGAGAACGGCGUCUGCAAAGCUUUGAGCCGGCGCGGCACUUAUGAAGCUACCGGAUACUUGACACUGACUGCCGCGGUCGGUUGAAGGGAAUUUCUUAUGGCAGUCUAAGCCUGUAGAAGCCGGUGAUGAUAAGAUUCCGGACAGGGGUCCGAUUCCCCUCAUCUCCAU